This 67-nucleotide transfer RNA is filed under the name Empoascanara gracilis. RNAcentral's name for it is "tRNA-Ser". It matches the Rfam family "tRNA". Rfam says of the family: Transfer RNA (tRNA) molecules are approximately 80 nucleotides in length. Their secondary structure includes four short double-helical elements and three loops (D, anti-codon, and T loops). The record is from RNAcentral. Lineage: Eukaryota; Metazoa; Arthropoda; Insecta; Hemiptera; Cicadellidae.
AGUUAAUUAGCUUAUUAAGUAAAGUGAUUACUUUGAAAGUAAAAGAAAGAUUAAAAUUUAUUAACUU